Molecule: microRNA precursor, 64 nt
Filed under: Oryctes borbonicus
Lineage: Eukaryota; Metazoa; Arthropoda; Insecta; Coleoptera; Scarabaeidae
Description: mir-14 microRNA precursor family
Rfam family: mir-14 microRNA precursor family
Source: Rfam by way of RNAcentral
AACAGGGGAGAGGAUAUAGGCUUACUUUGAUUUUAACUUAGUCAGUCUUUUUCUCUCUCCUAUU